Molecule: long non-coding RNA, 218 nt
Filed under: Brassica napus (rape)
Lineage: Eukaryota; Viridiplantae; Streptophyta; Magnoliopsida; Brassicales; Brassicaceae
Description: long non-coding RNA (BNAP_LNC016479)
Source: RNAcentral
GUCUUGUCCCUUAGAUCUUUCCUAGGGAUAAUUGUGUCGAGUGUGUGUUGCCGACAGCAGGUGUGAAACCCGCCCAUGCUAGGCAUGUUGAGGGGUGAUUAGUGUUUCCUCACCCUCGUACCCAGCGGGUUCAAGGAAACUCCUUAUUCGCUGGAUCGGGAAGACUCAGAUAGACGGGAUCAUGGCCUAUGGCUGAGUGAUUACACGACGGUGUAAUG